This 292-nucleotide ribosomal RNA is filed under the name uncultured bacterium. RNAcentral's name for it is "partial 16S ribosomal RNA". It matches the Rfam family "Bacterial small subunit ribosomal RNA", at positions 505 to 796 of the family's 1533-position model. The record is from RNAcentral.
GUGCCAGCCGCCGCGGUAAUACGAAGGUCCCAAGCGUUGUUCGGAAUCACUGGGCGUAAAGGGAGCGUAGGCGGCGUGGUAAGUCAGAUGUGAAAUCCCGGGGCUCAACCCCGGAACUGCAUCCGAUACUGCCAUGCUUGAGGGUUGGAGAGGUAGCUGGAAUUCUCGGUGUAGCAGUGAAAUGCGUGGAUAUCGAGAGGAACACUCGUGGCGAAGGCGAGCUACUGGACAACAUCUGACGCUGAGGCUCGAAGGCUAGGGGAGCAAAAGGGAUUAGAAACCCCCGUAGUCC